AAGGGUCUGGGCUCGAAAGAAGAUCUAUCGUCUAAUAGGGCGGCGAGUGGCGGACGGUUUGAGUAAUAUAUCGGAACGUGCCCAGUAGCGGGGGAUAACUACUCGAAAGAUAAGCUAAUACCGCAUACGCCCUACGGGGGGAGGGGGGGAUCGCAAGACCUCUCACUAUUGGAGCGGCCGAUAUCGGAUUAGCUAGUUGGUGGGGUAAAGGCUCACCAAGGCAACGAUCCGUAGCUGGUUUGAGAGGACGACCAGCCACACUGGGACUGAGACACGGCCCAGACUCCUACGGGAGGCAGCAGUGGGGAAUUUUGGACAAUGGGGGAAACCCUGAUCCAGCCAUCCCGCGUGUAUGAUGAAGGCCUUCGGGUUGUAAAGUACUUUUGGCAGAGAAGAAAAGGUAUCCCCUAAUACGGGAUACUGCUGACGGUAUCUGCAGAAUAAGCACCGGCUAACUACGUGCCAGCAGCCGCGGUAAUACGUAGGGUGC
Molecule: ribosomal RNA, 490 nt
Filed under: Photorhabdus luminescens
Lineage: Bacteria; Pseudomonadati; Pseudomonadota; Gammaproteobacteria; Enterobacterales; Morganellaceae
Description: bacterial SSU rRNA
Rfam family: Bacterial small subunit ribosomal RNA
Source: RNAcentral